This 487-nucleotide ribosomal RNA is filed under the name uncultured bacterium. Its description in RNAcentral is "bacterial SSU rRNA". It matches the Rfam family "Bacterial small subunit ribosomal RNA", at positions 30 to 508 of the family's 1533-position model. The record is from RNAcentral.
AUUGAACGCUGGCGGCAUGCCUUACACAUGCAAGUCGAACGGCAGCGGACCUUCGGGUGCCGGCGAGUGGCGAACGGGUGAGUGAUGCAUCGGAACGUGCCAUUGAGUGGGGGAUAACGUAGCGAAAGUUGCGCUAAUACCGCAUAUUCUGUGAGCAGGAAAGCAGGGGACCGCAAGGCCUUGCGCUCUUUGAGCGGCCGAUGUCAGAUUAGCUAGUUGGUGAGGUAACGGCUUACCAAGGCGACGAUCUGUAGCGGGUCUGAGAGGAUGAUCCGCCACACUGGAACUGAGACACGGUCCAGACUCCUACGGGAGGCAGCAGUGGGGAAUUUUGGACAAUGGGGGCAACCCUGAUCCAGCCAUGCCGCGUGAGUGAAGAAGGCCUUCGGUUGUAAAGCUCUUCGGUCCGGGAACGGAAAUACGCAUGGGUUAAGUACCCUGUGUGGAUGACGGUACGGCGACUAAGAAGCACCGGCUAACUACGUAG